ACGAACGCUGGCGGCGUGCUUAACACAUGCAAGUCGAACGGUGAAGCGCCUUCCUUUUUGGUGGGUGUGGAUGAGUGGCGAACGGGUGAGUAACACGUGAGUAACCUGCCCCCUUCUUCUGGAUAACCGCAUGAAAGUGUGGCUAAUACGGGAUAUUCUGGGUCUGUCGCAUGAUGGGUCUGGGAAAGAUAUUGUUUCGGUGGGGGAUGGGCUCGCGGCCUAUCAGCUUGUUGGUGGGGUGAUGGCCUACCAAGGCGGUGACGGGUAGCCGGCCUGAGAGGGUGGACGGUCACACUGGGACUGAGACACGGCCGAGACUCCUACGGGAGGCAGCAGUGGGGAAUAUUGCACAAUGGGCGCAAGCCUGAUGCAGCGACGCCGCGUGAGGGAUGGAGGCCUGCGGGUUGUGAACCUCUUUCGCCAGUGAAGCAGGCCUGCCUCGUUUGUGGGUGGGUUGACGGUAGCUGGAUAAGAAGCGCCGGCUAACUACGUG
This 493-nucleotide ribosomal RNA is filed under the name uncultured bacterium. RNAcentral's name for it is "partial 16S ribosomal RNA". It matches the Rfam family "Bacterial small subunit ribosomal RNA", at positions 29 to 507 of the family's 1533-position model. The record is from RNAcentral.